RNAcentral lists this ribosomal RNA (451 nucleotides) under uncultured bacterium. RNAcentral's name for it is "partial 16S ribosomal RNA". It matches the Rfam family "Bacterial small subunit ribosomal RNA", at positions 28 to 507 of the family's 1533-position model. The record is from RNAcentral.
GAUGAACGCUGGCGGCGUGCCUAACACAUGCAAGUCGAGCGGCAGCGCGGGGUGCUUGCACCCUGCCGGCGAGCGGCGGACGGCUGAGUAACGCGUGGGAACGUGCCCCAAAGUGAGGAAUAACUGCCCGAAAGGGUAGCUAAUACCGCAUAUUAUCUUCGGAUCAAAGGAUUUAUCCGCUUUGGGAGCGGCUCGCGUCGGAUUAGGUAGUUGGUGAGGUAAUGGCUCACCAAGCCGACGAUCCGUAGCUGGUCUGAGAGGAUGACCAGCCAGACUGGAACUGAGACACGGUCCAGACUCCUACGGGAGGCAGCAGUGAGGAAUCUUCCACAAUGGGCGAAAGCCUGAUGGAGCAACGCCGCGUGCAGGACGAAGGCCUUCGGGUUGUAAACUGCUUUUAUAAGUGAGGAAUAUGACGGUAACUGAUGAAUAAGGAUCGGCUAACUACGUG